Molecule: ribosomal RNA, 371 nt
Filed under: uncultured organism
Description: bacterial SSU rRNA
Rfam family: Bacterial small subunit ribosomal RNA
Source: RNAcentral
CAGAGGGUGCGAGCGUUAAUCGGAAUUACUGGGCGUAAAGCGUGCGUAGACGGUUAUUUAAGUCGGGUGUGAAAGCCCCGGGCUCUACCUGGGAAUUGCAUUCGAGACUGAAUAGCUAGGGUACGGUAGAGGGAAGUGGAAUUUCCGGUGUAGCGAUGAAAUGCGUAGAUAUCGGAAGGAACAUCAGUGGCGAAAGCGACUUCCUGGACCAGUACCGACGUUCAGGCACGAAAGCGUGAGGAGCAAACAGGAUUAGAUACCCUGGUAGUCCACGCCAUAAACGAUGAGGACUAGACGUUGGAGGGGUAAGCCUUUCAGUGUCGUAGCUAACGCGCUAAGUCCUCCGCCUGGGGAGUACGGCCGCAAGGUUG